RNAcentral lists this ribosomal RNA (165 nucleotides) under uncultured bacterium. RNAcentral describes it as "partial 16S ribosomal RNA". It matches the Rfam family "Bacterial small subunit ribosomal RNA", at positions 355 to 508 of the family's 1533-position model. The record is from RNAcentral.
UGGGGAAUAUUGCACAACUGGCGGAAACCAAUGAUGCAGCACAUGCCGAGAGUAUGAAGAAGGCAUUCGGGUUGUAAAGUACUUUCAGUUGUGAGGAAGGCGUUGGAGUUAAUAACUCAGCGCAUGACGUAUACUCAUGAGACGAAGCACCGGCUAACUCCGUGC